Drosophila pseudoobscura is the source of this 2243-nucleotide long non-coding RNA. RefSeq lists it as uncharacterized. The record is from RefSeq and is a predicted model, not a curated record. Lineage: Eukaryota; Metazoa; Arthropoda; Insecta; Diptera; Drosophilidae. The transcript is spliced from 2 exons.
CAGCGGGCAUUGAAAAUGUUGAUUGUUUUGUGGGACGUUCAAUGAAAUUCGUUGAAGGAAACAUUUCUUGCAAAAUUUAAUGGGCGAUGGGCAAUGGAAUUAAAAGUGAAAGAAUAAUGGAAUUAUUUCCUACAUAAUAGAGAUAAUAAACUACAACAUUUUUUCAAGUGAAAAUUUAUAUACAUAUGGAAAAAAGCAAAAGCUUGCGGAUCUUCAGGAUCUAUAAAAAGCUGAUCGAACAGACAUAUGUAUUCGCAAUCAUUUCUCAUCGAAACCAUUUACAGAAAUAACACUAUUAUCGUGAAAAUGUACACAUGUCACUGUCCUGUCAGCUAGUUUUUAUUUUUGACGCCUUUUUUCAAAUUUAUUUGAUAAGCGCACGGGCACACUGUUUGCUUUAGUUUAAUGAAAAAACAAUAACAAAAACGUAUCAAACACCUUUUUGUGAUAUCACGCUCUCUCUUAGCUCUCUCUGGACAAUGUAUAGCCUGGUUACAGUUAUCAGAAUGGCCGAAGAGAGCGCCAGUAAUGCGUCAUUGUCGCCUACUCUCUUUCGAUCUCGCAAAUGAUCUUGAAGUGGACCCAAAGAGAAAUUACACUAGAGUUUAAACGGAAAUGCUAAAAAUUAACGAAGCAGUUACUUGUUAGUAGAGAAAUACAUUCAUAUAUCGAAUCAUUCAUACAGCAGUGGUUAUGUGAUUAUGGGCUUAUCGAAAAGUGGCAUUCCUUUACAGUAAAUUGUCGUUCGUCAUGACUCAUGUGAUGGCAUGGCAAAUAUUGCUAUGUGUGAAAUUUGAGGGCCUCAUCAUGCAUAUCAUUUAUUGACGCAACUUAUCGGACUGUAUAGGGGUCUUUUUUUGGAUACUUAACCCAAAAAAAAGAAACGAUAAGAUUGGCAAAGCUCUGGAAAACAUCUUUAAAUUAGCUUUUUCUCCCAUUAAGGAAAUCCAUAUACUAAAGCUAGACUAGCGAUAGACUUCCAGGUUUCUUAUAAGCGCAACUGGAAUUUACAGCGGCGCAAUAGCUUGAGCAGGGCAAACGAAGAGAACAAAGGAGAACAGAGAAUUGAUGACCCCAAACAACAUAAACGGAAAGUAUACAAAGAGCGCAACUGGGGGGCGACACACAGAGAUGUGGGAAGUUUGAAUUUGUUGAGUGACAGGAGAAACAGAAAAGGGCUGCGUAUGUACAAUGGAUCUCCGACCACUGUGCGAGCAGCGAACCUAAAGCGCAGCUUGAACAUUCGCUAAGCGGCGCUCUCUGGCGAAGUUUCGGAGAGACAAAAUAAACAUAUGCAAAAGAAAUUACGAAAAUUCAAUACAAUAGCCGGAGCACUACGAAAUAUUAAAGCUGACACGCACACACACACAUGAAAACUCUCUCUUUCCCUGUCUCUCUCUGGCAAAUGAAAAUCUAAUCAACUAAAAGAUGUGGCUGUGUCAGGAGAGGGGGGGCGGUGGGCGGUCAUUUUAGCAUUUACUACUACUCGGAACAACUGCAAGAAGAAGCAGCUUUAAGAAGUACUUUGAGCUUUUAUCACGACUAUAAAUACGAUUUGCUUUUCGUAUGCAACGUGGCGAGAGGAAUGGAACGGGAACGUAAUGACAAAACAGACAGUUAACGGCAUUAAGUACUAGUAGUGGGAAGAGCGGAGAGGAGCGGCAGAGAGAAAGCAAAGGGCAUCCAACUGCAGUUGUUGGGCAACAACAAUCAUUGACAGCUAUGCAGGGGGCGUACACUUCUGUGAUUUGGGUUCAGAGAAUUAUUUUGGGAAUUAAUCAAGCACGCACUCCCACACAUACACACACACUCACACUUUCAAUUAGUGCCAUUGAGCUACUGCGUCAUUGUGUCCAUGGAAGACAAGACAGAGAGGAGCCGAGCCUGAGAGUGGUCUGCUCCUAUGGUAACUGUCUCUUGUUCGACCGCCACCGGCUAGCCAGCUCAUAAUUAUGAGCACACCAAAACACAUUACAUUACACCAGUGUGCCAUGUUUAUAAUUACCUUUGAACAGAUAAUCGUAUUCGUCUUCUCUUGCACCCAUUUUGCUGAAGUUUGUUUUAAUAUAAUUGGCUUCGUUUAAUUAUUAUUGGCAGCUCCGGUUGCGUUCCGUUUGAUUGGUGUGCGAGUCUUAAGUAAAAUCCAAUAAUCCUUGCGCGCCGCCGAUUUCUAUAUGCGUUUGUCGUAGCUCACACACUUUUUACACUUCAUUUGUAGGUGUAUUUGUAAAGAAAAAGAAAAA